GCCGCGGGAUGUGUCAGUACUUUCCUGCACCAUUCCAUCUCAGCAGGAUCUCGGGCCCUGACAGAGGAAAUCCGCAUCCCAACGCCGGGUUACGAGUCCAGCUCAGCUGUCGCUGCACAUCCAGCUACUCCCGGUGGAUUAUAUUCCCCUCUCCGUUACGCGACGCAUCGGCAUAAGGAGGAGCGGAGUAGCAGCAGUAGCAGCAGCUUGGAGCGCGAGCGCACACACACUCACACCGUGCCCCAGACCAACAUGAGCGGCGCACGAGUCGCAGCGACCCCUGCCGUGGAAGACUGGAAACGCAGACCAUAUCGGGCGGAGCGGCGCAUGCGCGCUCCAACCCCUGCGCAGCGUGCGUGUGUGUGUGUAUGUAUAUAUUGUUUUCUAUUAAAAAAAAAACUAUUUAAGAAUAUUGAUAAACACUUUAAUAUUUAUAACUUAAUAUCCGAGUUGAAUAAAAAAUAAUCAGGAAUAUGUGCUGCAACCUACAAAUCAUCAGGCAGAAAAAUCAAAUUAUUAUAGAUUCAUUUAAUGAUGAAUAUCUAAACACACAUUUAGUCAGUGAAAUCAAAUAAACUAUAUGCCUGAGUAUACAUGACCUUUUUUUAAUUUUCUUUACUUUUAUUCUAGUGUUUACUAAAAAUAAGUUGAUAAACAGAAAUUUCAGUAACUGCUUAUUCUGAUUGUAGUUAGUUAAAUGUUCAUUUCAGCUCUUCAAGGAUGAAGAUGGCUACAUUAUGGCUUUUUUUUGGCUACAGCAAUACAUUUAGUCCACUAAUGGAAUAGCUUAAACAAAUAAGCAGUGUUCCCCUGCUUAAAUACUAAUUUUGAUAUUUUUCUUUGUACUUCACAAGUAUUUUUUUUAAUGAAAUAAACUUUAAAUUAUAUUCUGAAGACAAUAUAAUGUAGACAUUUUACUCUUUACAUUUGCUUACAUCCAGAAUAGAAAAAUCCUCAAAUGAUGCACAUUUCUAUUACAAAUCUGUGCUCUCAAUUUAUUUGUUGUUUAUCUGCAAAAAAAGAUUAAUUCGAGUCGUGUCUGUGAUCAGCAAGAUGAGCAUCUGUGGUAUAUUAAGAUGUUCUCUUUCUCUGAAUCGAACAAUGAUUCAUAUGUGGUGACUCCUUCGCCUCCUGUGUAUAAAUAAAAUACCAACCUUUAAAAACAUGGCAUUUAAUCUAAA
Molecule: long non-coding RNA, 1181 nt
Organism: Silurus meridionalis
Lineage: Eukaryota; Metazoa; Chordata; Actinopteri; Siluriformes; Siluridae
Exons: 2
Source: RefSeq, a predicted model, not a curated record